Long non-coding RNA from Capsella rubella, 851 nucleotides. RefSeq lists it as uncharacterized. NCBI's taxonomy places the organism in Eukaryota, Viridiplantae, Streptophyta, Magnoliopsida, Brassicales, Brassicaceae. The record is from RefSeq and is a predicted model, not a curated record. The transcript is spliced from 2 exons.
UCAGAAAAAACACGACGUAAGCUACUCUUUCUCCUCUGCUCUCGUCCAUUUCACUUUUUCUUCAGAGGCUCUUUAACCAACAUGCAUGGUUCAGCCUUCUUCUCAUCUUGGGACUUUGAAAAAUUCACCAAAAAAAAAGUGAAAUAAUAACCCAGUUGGGUUUGUGGUGGCAACGACAUGCCAAUAUUAUUUUAAUCGAUUCUCUUGCAAAAGAUUUGUUUGCCAUGGUCGUCUCAUAUUAUAUACAAUAAGCGAUGAUUCAAUCAACAUGUUUCAUCUCUACUUAUACGAUCCGUCUAGUGCAGUCGCUGACCCUUGUUCCUCCUUCUCAUGCUUUACAUGCUCUUCUCUCGGCUGUGUCACCGGCUUAUCUCGUGGCCCUAAUCUAUCCGGUUUUCUAUCCCCUUCCAUCUCCAAUCUUUUUUUUUUUGCUAAGAAAGUUAAUAUCAUAUAAAGAUAAAAGACACGGGAGCAAUACUACUGCAAAGAGAAUGUAUUAAGAGAAUAAAGGAAAACAGAUUUUCCUUAUCUGAGAAUGACAACGUUGUCCCAUUGCUAGGUUAUCCAUGUCCCUUCAACCUAGCUCACUUAACCCAACUCAUUCUCUGCUUCGGCUCUGUUCACCGGCGGAAGAGCAUUGUAGAUAGGUAGCAGACAUCCAAAUGUUGUUGGGUUUGUGGGUGAAGGUGAUCGACUCGGUUAGGUUUGGGAGAGUGAUGUCGAGAAGAUUUUACUUUGGUCUGAAAAGAGAUGAAAUACUUUGAAAAAUGUUAGGAUUGCAUUUGUACGUGUUUUAGAUGUAAAAUACAUUAAAAUCUUAAAUCAAAUAAAAUCCAUUAAAAAUUGAAUAA